Molecule: small RNA, 539 nt
Filed under: Vigna angularis var. angularis
Lineage: Eukaryota; Viridiplantae; Streptophyta; Magnoliopsida; Fabales; Fabaceae
Description: Non-protein coding transcript
Source: RNAcentral
GUUCAAUCCUUUAUUUUUAUAUUUUAAUUAACUUCUUUAAGAAUAUCAAACAAAUAACUUGUUUUUCUACUUUUGAAAAUUGUGACCAGAGUUGGUACCAAAAAUAUUCUACAGUAUUGUGUGAUGAGAGAACAGAUACCAACCUUCUUUUUUUUUGUUCCUCGUUUCGUUUUCACGUGCCUUAAGGUGACAUGACAACAAGCGCAUAGAAUAUUAUAAUAGCAUUAUGUUGCGUGAUUAACCAAAAUGUCUACAAACAAUGUAGUGUGCAUUCAUAUGAAUACCACUAAACCACCCUUUGGAGGUGCCGGAAAACAGCCAUAGAAAACCAACCUUAUAAGAAUCGAAACUUAUUUCAAUCUAAAACAGUUAUCAGCACGCAAUCACACGUGGAAAUAGUUGAGAAACACAGGACAUACCUUGCACCGGUUGAGAUUGAGUUUAUCAAGAAGAUGAAGAAGAAGCGGAAUUUAGCAGUAGAUUGGAUGGAUGAAGUGAGAUGUGAGAAAAACUAUUAAGCAAGAUACUUCUGGGGAAUG